GUUCGACUUUUUAAAAAUUACAUGAUUUGAGUUCAGACCGGUGUAAACCAGGUCGGUUUCUAUCUUCUUUAAAAUUUUUUACAGUACGAAAGGACCUAAAUAAUUAAUUUUAUU
Molecule: ribosomal RNA, 114 nt
Filed under: Philodromidae sp. A MACT-2017
Lineage: Eukaryota; Metazoa; Arthropoda; Arachnida; Araneae; Philodromidae
Description: partial 16S ribosomal RNA
Source: RNAcentral